CCCGGGGCAGCGCUGCCCCGCGGCACAGCCCGCCCGCCGGCCGGGCGGGAGCGCAGCGCAGCCUCCCAGCGCCCCGCUGCUGACGAAGCUUUCAUCGCGCAGCAAGGCGGGCAGGCGAGCCAAACGGGGAAGGAGCGGCCGUGCCAGCCCGGCGGCUCCCCGGCAGCGGGACGCGGCCCCUGCCGAGCGGCAGCGCCGAGGCCGGCAGCCCGCCCUCCGCCGCGGCAGCGCGCCGCCCGGGCCCUGCGCCUCCCACCGCGGAAAGCUGCCGGCGCUUUAGGGCCCCGGAACAGGGAGAAACAGCAACAUGCGCCUAGUCGGAAGAUGGGACGCUACUCCCACCCUUACACGACAUUUUCAACCAAACCCCAGCAGAAUGUUCUCUUCUAGCAAAGGCCACCCACGCCCCAGCCAUUUUGGAUGCAUGAGCAACUCCCACAGGACAUGCACCCCCGUGUGCUGCUGCUGCUUCAGGAACGGCCAAAAUCCCAGACAGGGAGAACUCAGCAACAAAAAUAAAAGAAGCAGGGUUUUGUCAAUUGGUUUCUUUGGCCUGGAGGUUGUGGGGCUUUGUGGUUUUUUAGAGGUUGCUGAUUUUACAUGACGGUAAAGCAGAUUUCCAUCCCAUUCAUCUACGAGCACUCUGUCCUCACAAGAAACCCUGGGGUUGGUACUCCAAAAAAGCAGUACAGGCACAAAAGCCCCUCUGCCUCCCUGAGGGCAGUGGUGUGAUGGGAUGUGUGCUGCAGAUGACAGAAAUAAAUCUGAACAGCCACUGUAACUAAACCCACCUCCCACUUCAAAAGUACUUCAAAAUAUUUCAAUUCAAGUAUUUUAUGCAACCUUACAAUUCAAGGUGGCUUCAGGAUUGACCCCAGGUUUUUGCUGUUUUGUUUUUAGAGUUUAAGGGGGUCAAAGGACCAAAAGCAAAAUGCUCCUCUCUGGCUGCUAUUGAGUAUAAUUUGAACUUGUGCAAAAACUUCAGCUGAUUAGUCACCUAUAUUUAGAAGGAAGUUAUUGUCUGAAAGGGCAACCAUAAUGGAAAUGAUUUUGCACAAGAAGUAGAAAGACCCACUGCGUCUAUUUUUAAUGCAUGCAGAAGGUUCUAUGACCAAAAUAUGGUUUGUCAAAACAGUGAUCAGCAUACAUGCUGAAAACCACAGCUACAGAGCAAAUUGAAAGAUAAAUCAAACCACAUUGUCCAUCUCCCUUGGUUUCAUCAAAAGCAAGCAGGAGAAUAAGUUCAUGAAGGCAAAUCACAGGGUAGCAGUAGGUGCCUGCUGUGGAUCCUGAGGAUGAAUUUGAACUUUGCUCUGACUCUGGGCUGAGGGCUUUCUUCACAAGUGUAAAUGCACAUCUUGGUUUUUAGGGCUGGUGUACCUCAUGGUCCUUAGGCAUCAGCAACAUGCACAGCCUAACCACACCUAGCUGAUGGAUAUCUACAAGAAUGCUAAAGCAGUACUACAGUCACAGUAACUUGGUGUUUGGGACACAGCUGGGCAAACACUGUAAGACACAGGAGGUGUCUGCAGUGUGCCAUGGUCAAGAAUCAGCACCAUGACCUCAUCUUCCUCCAGCACUCAGGCACAGAGGGACCUUAGAUCGGACUAGCAGCCAGUUAAUCACAGCCUGAAUUUCAAUAUUCCUCUCUUUAUAAACUCAUCCAUUGUUUUAAUUACUUAAGGAAGAUGCACAACUUGUGUUUUAAUGCACACAUUAAAGCACAAAUGCUUUAACUCCAAACUUUGACGUACAAACCAUGACUGGAGAUGAGGUGAACUAAAUAGAAACUUUCCACUUGAACAAUGGAUAAAAAAGAUCAAGAAGGUAACUCAGCUGAGUAAUAUCAAUUUUGAAAGGCAAUUCCCAACCCCUGCAAGCAAGACUGAGAACUACUGGAUAGCAGCAUAAGUGCUAGGAUGUCCCUCACCCUGCAACUACACACUGGAAAUGCACACACAAUAUCCACACCACCACUGGCACUGUCCUUUCAUAAUGAAUGAAGAGCUGAGUGGAAAAAAAAAACCAACCAAACAACCAACUCCUCUAUAAAUCAAAUUUACCCAUGCCAGGCAGUAUAAAAAAACAAGAGCAGGUGAUUCCUAUGAUCGUACAACCUCUGGCCAAGACUCAGCAUAGAAGCUACAAGUGAAGACAGUGCAAAGUUGUUUUAAAAAGCCAUAUGACCAUACUGUGCUGAAACAUUUUCUAGCCUAUACAUCAAUUUCACAUAGUAUUACUUUGGCUUCUCUAUUUGCCAAUAAUCUCCAAGAUCUUUAUAUGCUGGCAAUUAUAUUUCCUUCAUUAAUGCCACUCAAGACAUCUGUGUUGCAUUCAGUGCUGUGAGUGGAAUUUGGAAUUAACAGAAAUGUAUCUGCAUCAGAUUCAUGCUGCCCAUGUGGGAAAGCUCACUGACCAUUCACACAGUUUUUGUGGUCUGUGUUAAACACUGUGGUUCAGCAGUUACUUGGCUCACAUUAACAGAGCUGACCAGUUCAGAGAGACUCUGGCCUGCCUAUACAGCUCCUAGUACAUGCCAUAUCCUAGAUAUAUGUUUGGCCCCCUUAGACUUCAUUUAUUUUGAAAUUUAAGUGUCUAGAAAAACUUAUUGAAUAGUUUAUGAAAAAUGGUAUCUCCCAUGCCAGAAAUCUUUCAUCUAUAAGAGAGUAAUAGGAUUAAACAGGAAAUAAAAAGACCAAACAUACCCUGACACACUCACAUCAGAUGUAUGAUGGAAAUUACAUACUCAUCUGUGCUAAAACUUGACAAGAAAAUCUGGAAAAUACUGUUGAAUAUCAUAAUCACUACCUCAGAUGGCCUGAGGAAUCCACCACCACCACGCUGGUGGUAUUCUGUGGUACUUCUCCUUUGUUCACAGGAAAAUGGAAGUCCUUGCACAGACGAGUCAUCAUUUGUCAAAGCAUUCAUCACAGAUGCUUAACUGCACAACAGAGCUACCCAGCCUAAAGGCUAUCUAUCCAUUGCUGUCCUCAUCCAAGCCAGGACAGCCCAGUUUUAUGCUUGAUCUGCUCUCAUGAGUUAGUUUAGGGAGCUAACCUAGCAGAAGGCUACUCCUGCCCAAAAAAAAAAAAAAAAUUGUAUGCCAAACUCUGACUGGGUGCCCUGUUAAGACAGAGAAGAUCCUGUCUCAGGGCAAAGUAGGAGGCAGUCUGCCACAGGAAGCAGGACCUCCUGCUCUGGGAGCUGGCACUUAUAGGCUCACCCUGUCCUGAUCUUGGCAUGUUCUGCUCCAGAACACACAGAGAGAUCAGAAAAGCUCUGCUUAAGAUUCAGAAAGAAGAUAAAAAGUACAGGUAACUAGAAGUGUGCUCUAUCCUGCCUGAAAGGAUGGGGGGAGGAUUGAUAGUGAUGGGGGACAGCAGAAGAGCACAAAAGAGCACACACUAUAAAAUAAAGGGAAACGCUCUUCCAGAAUGAGAUGGAAAAUGAAGGAAGCCAGGGUGAAGGGGGAGCAGGAAGGGAUCUAAACAGUUACAAAGAAAAAAUAGAGACAAUUUUUAAACUCAUGAUAGAAAAAUAUCUACAGCUUUAUAGAAAUGGAUGUAAUUUUUACAAUUUAAGCUAAAAGGCAAAUAAACAAAAGAUUUAAAGUAAAAGGUGAGAGAGAGACCUAUCCUGAGCAGGUUUCCAGUAGAUGCUGACACCAUGUAUUAUGAAGCCCUGGAUUUUUAAGGGGAAGUUGUCUGGGAAAUUAUUUUAAUUCAGAGCAAACCAAGUCUAUGACCAGGGCAGACCUACAAGAAAACAAGCAUCAGCACCCUUGGCUACCCAGACCAAAGAGACAGAACCAACAAGCUCUUCAGCUGACUAUUGGAAGAAAGGGAUGGCCCUUUGUGGAUGGCACAUGUAAACCACUGCUAAAUAGGCAUCCUAAACACAUUUUCCAAGCAUCUGUUUGGAUACAGCCUCUGCUGCUGGCCUAAAAUGGCAGGACUGGAAGCAGAGUGGAAACCACAGCCUCCAAAUGCUGCUCAGCACUUCUAAUCACAGGAUAACCCAGUGCUGUGGAGAGGAAGAAUUUCUGCUCAGUUUAAGGCAGAAGUCAGAACUCCUCCCAGGAAGCAGCACCUUCACUUCAUUCCCACAACCCACUACCCAAAGCUGAUUCUCAAAAACUUUUCUGGGGGUUGGAGAUUUGGUCAUUUUCAGGUUUUUGUUUGUUGGUUUGGAGGGGGUGGUUGAGGUUUGGGGCUGUGGGAUUGUUUUGAGGGGUUUUUUAUAUUUUAUUUUUCUUUCUUGGUCCACUAUCAGGGUGUAAUUAAGGUUCAAAGUCAAGAAAGAAAGGGAAUCAGCACUGUGUCAGCAAUUAGCUCAACAUCCUGUUAAUAUCUACCCAUAAUCUCUCCCAGUCUAGGCGUGUAAUCUACCUAAGAGGUAAAUUAAUUUUCCAGUGGUUGCCUCCAUGGGUUACCAAUCUCUAUUGCUUGUUACACAUUUAGUUACACAGGCAUAAUGUCUCCUAAGAAUACAUAACCAGGUAUUACACUUUCCUUCCAUGAACCCCAUUCUCUUCAUAGUAGAGCUUGUACCUCCACAUGAGGAAUAUAAGCUUAGUUGGAAAUGAGAAGCCCUAUUUCCCCAUGCACUAGAACAUCCCUUACUUUACAUAUUUAAAGCAAAAUACAACUGAAUACAAGCAGCUGGAAUUAACCUCAAAAGGUUUUGGGUUUUUUUUCCCCUUUCCAGGGGAAAAAAACUUUUACUUGUUAACUUUUACUUGUUUAGCUUGUUAACAAAUCAAGCUAGUUUCACAGUCUCUAGGUGUCAGUUCUCAGUAAAAAAAAAAAAGAUUAUCAAGUUAUAGUCACAGCUUUUAACAAGUUCUCAAAGUUCCAUAAUACCUCAUAAAACAAGUAUCACUUACAUCCCCAUCACCCAGCACAGUAUUGAACAUGUGCCACCACAAGAAAUGCACUCCAUUUCCCUUACAGCAGUGUUCAGUCAAGUCAAACUGACAUGCAAGAAUAUGGCAAACAUUAGCGAGUCUCGCCUUGCAGACGUCAUGAGGGUCUUCACCUGCCACUGUGGUAGGAACGUUCUGGCCAUGCUGGUAGCCACAAUGAUUGGGAGGCAGAUAGGCAAUUGCUCUCCCAAUGUCUUGGAAAACAGGGAUUAACAUCAAAUCACUAGAAAGAGGUGACCUAAAUGCUAAACAACAUCCUACCUCCUCGCUGCUGACAGGACUAUUCAUUUCAGAGUGGACAGGCUCUAUUUUACCAACAGUCUUCUCCGUUUAUAUACACACACUCCCUAACACACACACAUGCACACACAUGGUUCUCAUUAUCAGACAAUGGCUGAAUGAUCAAAGGUUAAGAAUUAUUUCUCUUUUUGCCUUGUUGAUGGUUUAAAACAAAAAUCAAUUCAAUGUAUAUAUCAUUUAUAGAAAUUGUUUUUAACUCAGCUGUUCCACACAGGGAUUGGGAAGGUAAUGGCUCUGCUGCAAAAAGAGGGAAUAAAAGCUCCCAGGCUCCCAAAGGAUGAUUUAUGCCACACUACCCAAAUUUCAAAGUGAGGUUUCUCUUGCACACAAUAGUUAAUAAUCUGGAUUCUUCUUUGUGGCACUAUUAUUUCAAUGACAGAAUUUACUGGCAGUAUAAAAUGUAGGAGAAUAUUUUAUUCUGCAUAUAUUUUGCACCUCCAUCUCUUUUGCAUCUUAUUUUUCUUUCAGUACAUAGAGUUUAAGGCUUCGCAGCAUUUACAAUCCCUUCUUUUAUUUGCCCAACACAAUAGGUACCCAAGUGCAGUAAAAAAUAAAUAAGUACAAUUAGAAUAGAAGGGCAUUUUCUCCUCAGCUACACAUCAGGCACCUGAAUUUGGGUGAAGUCUCUGUACUUGUAGAGUCAAGACUUGAAUUGCUGGUCAUGGACAGGUCACUGACAAUAUGGAGAGCAGUGCUGUGUUGGGAUAGUGAGGAAGAGCCAAGUCCAAGAUUUACCCAGCAGAGGUCAGGCUAAACCAAAACUUUACUGUCAUUAUGGGUCCUAAGAAAUUGUCUCUUGGGUCCUUCCCACUGUUUCCCCUCAAAAUCAAAAAACAAGUAUUUUUACAAGUAUUUUAGAUACCUAAGAAUUACUCUGAAAAUCAUUUUAAAACAGCAAAGACUUAAGUUUGUUGGACAAAAUACCCUUAAAAAAGACUAAGACAAAAGCAUCUGACACCAAACAUUUGAAAAACUCAAUAUUAUUGUUGGGCAAAAAUGCAUUAAUUAAAUGAAAUAAGAAUGAAAAUCCACUGUAGCAACAUAAAGAAAACAUUGUGCAUGUUCUCCAAGAGUAUUUCAAGUGAAUUUUGUGCUGAUACACAAGGCAUAGUAAAUGCUUCUAAAAAUACACAUUAAUAUAAGUAUUCGUAAUUACAAGGGGAAUCACCAAGGGUCUCAAGAGUUUGGGAGUUAUCUGUCCACAAAAUGAAAACAAAAGCAUCAUGCAUGUGAUUUAGCAUUUAGCACAAAAAGCAGAAAACACUUAAAACAAAACUCAUGGAGAUAGAAUAAAGUAAGUCUGCAUAAUGUGCUCAUAUGCAUGACAAAGAAUCUACACAGCUUUCAAAUAAAAAUGUGAAAAUACUAUAAAAACACAACAAAGGAGAUGCAGUGUUCAGUAUCCCAGUGAGUUACAUUGAAACAAACUAAAUAGUAGAGAAUGUACAAAAAAUGAACAGAAAAGUUAAAAAGUGCAGCAUCAAACAUGUCUGUGUAUUUGUGAUAUGUACACAUGCACACAAACAUGCAUUACUUGUUAAGUAAACUUUUCUUCUACAGUCAACAUAAGUGUUGGGGGGGAGGUCUGAAGCACGUGAAUAAGAUUUUAGCAAAGGUAAGAUGUUCACUAAUAUUUCUUAGGACAGUUAAUACUAGAACAUUGCAGACAAUGCUAAUUACACCCUGAAUAUUGUUUGAAUCAAGGGAUUUGACACAUCAUCCAAGACUGAGUAUGGUAAGCAGCAACACUGCAUUUCACAGGGGAAGACAUCAGAGGUGUUACGCACUCAUUACCUUAAGGAAGCCAAGCGCCCUAAGUUUGACCUAAGCAGUUGGUAGGCAGUGAGCUGUUUAUGCUUAAAAUGCCUAAGUUUACAAUCCAAGGCAAUGGACUUUACAGUCUUUCUUGUUGCAGCACAGACACCCGUACUCUAGGUUAUGCUCUAGUCUUCUUUUGUUGCUGCUUACCAGAGAAUGUCAAGAUUGGUGGAGGCAACUCUGGGCCUCUCCCCUUGCCCUGCUCUGUGGUCUCAGAAAGGUUUGAUUACAACUGUCUCCCUGAAGAUGCAUGCAGAAGUCUUAUCCCACUACAUACCUUUUUUUUUCCUAAUACCCAACUCAGAGCUUGUGCACUGUCCUCUAAAGGCAUGCUUAAAACUGCUUUAUGGUCUCUGCGCUGAGGACAGUUUAUUUCCAAGCAGAUCACAGGCUUUGAGAUGCAAUUCUAUUCCUCUUGUUCCACAUUACGCGGACACACACAGUUCUAAGGUUUUCAAUUACAAUAUUUACAGCACAGCUAGAAUUGGCUCGGUAUUUACACUUUUCUGAAGGGCUGCUUUCAAGCCUUGGCUGCACAGAAAGUUUAAAAGAAAAUGUCCCACCCCAAUGGAAAUACCAAGUUCCUAAAUCACUGCUCUACUUUUGUAGGACACAGAGUUUUAUCCACAUAACACAUGCACAAACCUCUCAGCUCUGAUUAAUAAAGAAAAUAUGGUCACAUAAAAGGUACUGCAGGGAUGCCAGAAAUUGUUGUUUUCUAAGUAGAAUCCACAUUAAACGUGUCUUCUUUAGCAUGCAACUUCUGCAAGGAUUUAAAAGACUACACCUGAUAUCCUAGAGAAGUAAAUUAGUGCUAUAUUUAUUAAUUCAUCAGCAGUUUCAACUGAGGAUAAAAUGAAAUACAAAUGACUACUAAAUGCUACCAUUACUCUUUAAAUACCUCUCUGCAAAGCCAGAAUCAAUUACAGUGAUUGCAAAAGCUGGAGCAGCCUCCCUCAUUACCUGAAAACUACUCAAACUUGGGAUGAAGUCAAAAGAGAGACACAAUUCAUGUCAUGAAAACAAGACAGACAACACCAGUGCUCCUCCAGACAUGGCUCAUACAUCUGUGCAUCCUGCAGAAAAUUUUUCUUCUAUCUGCUAUGCCACCCACCCUUGUUCCAUCUCACAGCUAGUGACUAAUUACACUUCAGUGCAGCAAUUCAUCCAAGUUGGACAUUUGAAACAAGAAAGACAAGAAUCUUCUGCUUUGCUUUUUAAGCAAAAAAAAAGUUUUACCACUGGUAAAACUGAAAGUAAUAAAGCCACAUGGUAUCAGAAGGUAGUAUUUCGGUAUUUUUGACUGCCUUGUGGUACAGAGAAAAAAACCCAACCUGGUAUGCAUCUUCAUAUUAAGUACUUAGCUGUCAUUUAUCACAUCAAUGUUCAAUGAAAGUUUCUUCGACAGAAGGGAAACACUAUUCAAAUCCAAACCUGUAACACACAUGUUGUAUUAUAUGUGUUAUAGGUUUGGAUUUGAAAAGUGUUUCCCUUCCAUCAAAGAAGCAACACUGUCCUGCAGCAAUGUGUGCUGAUAUCCCAGCUUAGUACUCACUGCACUUUGCCAGCCAUGGAAAUGUCUAAUUGCAUUCUGCUUUUUCAGUCCAGAACUCCUUGUACUGCUGCUAUCACCACUUUGCUGUGUUCCUCCAUGCUCGUUUUGACAGCUCUUGCUAAAGACUAGCCAAAAUGUAAGCCUGGUUUAGACAGGCAAAUCACCUCACUCAUGCAAAGGCAAUCUUCAAGCCUGCCUCAGUAAAUUAAACUUACAGUUAUAAGAAAAUAAUGAGAAGCAUUCCCAUGGGCUCAUCUGAAACGUGGUGCUAGCUAUGAGAUGCAGCCCUGAAUAAUUUCAGCACAAGUCCACCUCCAGAGACAAAAUACACAGGAUUUGAGAACAGGGCAGUGUUUUCCCCUUCUGCUUUGUUUAUUCUUGCCAAUGUAACUACAUACUUUCUUGGGUCAAGAAACUUCAACAAGUCUUGAAACUGCAUGAACAAUGCCAACAAAGACACAGAAGUGUUAUGCAAGCAAUAAAAGAAUUAUUUUUUGCAACUAAAGCAAUAAAUGGCUAGGUUUAACAAAAUACUCUUCUAGGUAAGAUCAUUAAUGACAAAAUGAGUAGUCCUUGAAUUAAGAGGGCAAUUUACUUUAGCAUGGGCUUCAAACUUUCACUUGAAGCCAGUGUGAUUUGCAUGUAGUACUCCCCAAGUAAAUUAAUAGAAUUUACUUUGAUUUAAAAAGCAUUGUUUGAGGACAAAGAUUUAACUCCUCUUGAGAGGAAUGGCAUGGUUCACAUGGAAGAGGGUGGACUACAAUCACCUGGGAUCCAUUCCAAUGUGAAUUUUUCCUAUGAUUUUGAUACUCAAGGUGUUGCGUCAGAUGCCAGUCUGUACAGGCUAUUGGGAUGACAGGAGACAGGGUCUGGAAGAGCCUGCACACUCUUACUGAAUGCAUUAAAAGUUCUCAUGCCAAACUUAUGCAUGUCACACAACACUCAACAGCAACCAGUAUCAGUCUCAAAUUUGCCAAUUCAGAUAUACCUGUAUCCUAUGACUCAUGCUAUCAUCUUGGAUGUAUUAGCAACAGCUGUUCAAGUAACAAAAAGUGUAAAACGUGGCUUUAAUGCCAUUUGCCUAUGUAUGUUUUAUAGAAUAUUUAUAAUGAAAAAUCAUAAGUCAGAUCCAAGUAGUGUUGUUAUCUUUCCUAAUGCAUUGUUAGAUUUUGCUAGUGGUGCUACAGAGUUUGUGCAUGUUUGGGAUUUUCUCCUUUGUUUUGCUGGCAGGACCAGGGAAGUCCCAGGGCUGAGACUGGUGGAGAGGCAGUGUUCCCAAGGACUGUACAAUAGAGCAGUGUUUCCUAAAGUAGGUUAUGUGAAGGACGAGCAGAAAGGCAUCAGAGGGAGGGGUGACUGUGGAAAAUAUGGAUGAUGUCAUCCUCAGCAUUAGCAGAUCUUUGAAAAUACAUGGCAGCGAUAUACUGUCCCAGUAGAGGAUAAGGAGCUAUGCUUCCAAAAGUUGGGAAAGUGCAGACCUAUCUCAGUGUUUCCUUGUUUCACUGA
Passer domesticus (house sparrow) is the source of this 10103-nucleotide long non-coding RNA. RefSeq lists it as uncharacterized. The transcript is spliced from 3 exons. The record is from RefSeq and is a predicted model, not a curated record. Lineage: Eukaryota; Metazoa; Chordata; Aves; Passeriformes; Passeridae.